RNAcentral lists this transfer RNA (65 nucleotides) under Rectidens sumatrensis. RNAcentral's name for it is "tRNA-Tyr". The record is from RNAcentral. Lineage: Eukaryota; Metazoa; Mollusca; Bivalvia; Unionida; Unionidae.
AGCAAAGUGGCCGAUUUAGGCAAAAGACUGUAAAUCUUUCAAUGGCUACAACAAGCCCGUUGCAA